RNAcentral lists this ribosomal RNA (407 nucleotides) under uncultured bacterium. RNAcentral's name for it is "bacterial SSU rRNA". It matches the Rfam family "Bacterial small subunit ribosomal RNA", at positions 354 to 777 of the family's 1533-position model. The record is from RNAcentral.
GUGGGGGAUAUUGCACAAUGGGGGAAACCCUGAUGCAGCAACGCCGCGUGUGGGAAGACGGUUUUCGGAUUGUAAACCACUGUCCUAUGGGAAGAUAAUGACGGUACCAUAGGAGGAAGCUCCGGCUAACUACGUGCCAGCAGCCGCGGUAAUACGUAGGGAGCAAGCGUUGUCCGGAAUUACUGGGUGUAAAGGGUGCGUAGGCGGGCUUGCAAGUCAGCCGUGAAAUCCCGGGGCUUAACCCCGCGGACUGCGGUAGAAACUGUGAGUCUUGAGUGAAGUAGAGGUAGGCGGAAUUCCCGGUGUAGCGGUGAAAUGCGUAGAGAUCGGGAGGAACACCAGUGGCGAAGGCGGCCUACUGGGCUUUAACUGACGCUGAGGCACGAAAGUGUGGGUAGCAAACAGGA